AAGACUAUACUUUCAGGGAUCAUUUCUAUAGUUCUUUACAAAUAUCCAGGCUUCUGUCCACCACCUAUCUUGGGUACGGUCUUUUGUACAGG
Small nucleolar RNA from Erinaceus europaeus (western European hedgehog), 92 nucleotides. Its record names the gene U3. It matches the Rfam family "Small nucleolar RNA U3". Rfam says of the family: Small nucleolar RNAs (snoRNAs) are involved in the processing and modification of rRNA in the nucleolus. There are two main classes of snoRNAs: the box C/D class, and the box H/ACA class. The record is from Ensembl. NCBI's taxonomy places the organism in Eukaryota, Metazoa, Chordata, Mammalia, Eulipotyphla, Erinaceidae.